RNAcentral lists this ribosomal RNA (632 nucleotides) under Ceramiales sp. ARS-2011. Its description in RNAcentral is "eukaryotic LSU rRNA". It matches the Rfam family "Eukaryotic large subunit ribosomal RNA", at positions 1284 to 1901 of the family's 3401-position model. Lineage: Eukaryota; Rhodophyta; Florideophyceae; Ceramiales. The record is from RNAcentral.
AACAACUCACCUGCCGAAUGAAUCUGCUCUAAAAAUGGAUGGCGCUUAAGUGAUUGACCGAUACCACGCCAUUUGUGAUAGUUGAAGCAAAUGAGUAGGAAGAACGUGGUGGCUGUAUUGAAGUGCUCAGGCGACUGGGUGUGGAACGGCCACUAUUGCAGAUCUUGGUGCUAGUAGCAAGUAUUCAAAUGAAAACCUUGAAGGGUGAAGCGGGGAAGGGUUCCACACGAACAUUGAUUGAGUGUGGGGAAGCCGUACCUAAGUGAAACAGCAAUGGUGAAUAUGAUUUGCGAAAGGGAAGCAGGUUGAAAUUCCUGCGCUCGGAUGUGGACGCGGUGACGCAUGUUUUGUGGCGAUGACGCUGUUAGAGACACUGGGCAGAGAUAUCUUUUCUGUUUAACCGUAAUUUGUGUUCUGUGGAAUCUGCUUGUCAGGAGAAACAGACACAUCUGGGCAGAGCGCCGAGCUUUUUUUGGCGUCCAGUUUGUCUUUAGCGGACCUUGAAAAGUCGUUCACAGGGCGAGGUGAAGAUUUAUUUUUUUCUAUCUUGUCAAAAAAACAAUCCACGCCGGGACGUACCGAUAUCCGCAUCAGGUCCCCAAGGUGAACAGCCUCUGUCCRAUAUGAAAAAU